GACGAACGCUGGCGGCGUGCUUAACACAUGCGAGUCGAACGGUAAGGCCCUUCGGGGUACACGAGUGGCGAACGGGUGAGUAACACGUGGGUGAUCUGCCCUGCACUUCGGGAUAAGCCUGGGAAACUGGGUCUAAUACCGGAUAGGACCACUGCCUGCAUGGGUGGUGGUGGAAAGCUUUUGCGGUGUGGGAUGGGCCCGCGGCCUAUCAGCUUGUUGGUGGGGUGAUGGCCUACCAAGGCGACGACGGGUAGCCGGCCUGAGAGGGUGACCGGCCAAACUGGGACGGAGAUACGGCCCAGACUCCUACGGGAGGCAGCAGUGGGGAAUAUUGCACAAUGGGCGCAAGCCUGAUGCAGCGACGCCGCGUGAGGGAUGACGGCCUUCGGGUUGUAAACCUCUUUCAGCACCGACGAAGCGCAAGUGACGGUAGGUGCAGAAGAAGGACCGGCCAACUACGUGCCAGCCGCCGCGGUAA
This 478-nucleotide ribosomal RNA is filed under the name uncultured bacterium. RNAcentral describes it as "partial 16S ribosomal RNA". It matches the Rfam family "Bacterial small subunit ribosomal RNA", at positions 28 to 523 of the family's 1533-position model. The record is from RNAcentral.